CCUACGGGGUGCAGCAGUGGGGAAUAUUGGGCAAUGGGCGCAAGCCUGACCCAGCAAUGCCGCGUGAAGGAAGAAGGCUUUCGGGUUGUAAACUUCUUUGACAGGGGAAGAGCAGAAGACGGUACCCUGAAAACAAGCCACGGCUAACUACGUGCCAGCAGCCGAGGUAAUACGUAGGUGGCAAGCGUUGUCCGGAUUUACUGGGUGUAAAGGGCGUGUAGCCGGGAAGGCAAGUCAGAUGUGAAAUCUGGAGGCUCAACCUCCAAAUUGCAUGUGAAACUGUUUUUCUUGAGUACUGGAGAGGCAGACGGAAGUCCUUGUGUAGCGGUGAAAUGCGUAGAUAUAAGGAGGAACACCAGUGGCGAAGGCGGUCUGCUGGACAGCAACUGACGGGGAGGCGCGAAAGCGUGGGGAGCAAACAGGAUUAGAUACCCGGGUAGUC
Molecule: ribosomal RNA, 442 nt
Filed under: uncultured bacterium
Lineage: Bacteria
Description: partial 16S ribosomal RNA
Rfam family: Bacterial small subunit ribosomal RNA
Source: RNAcentral